AUGGCAUGGGGCUUGAGGUGGCAUCCUCAGCAGCGGUGCUGGCUGUGCUGGGACUGAAGUAGAGGUCGGGGUGGUGGCAACCAGCUGAGACUGCUGAAGGGCCCAGGCCUCUUAUUCAGCCCCAGCACUGCCACCACCGCCAAGGGAUGCUGCUGUGCAGGGCAGCCAAACGUGCAGAGAUGGGUGGGGGGAGUUGAAAUGCCCCUGCAGUUGUAAGUGCGGGCAGGCUGCCAAUUGCCGGAAUUUUGAUCCUGUGACCGCAUGGACACUGCAACAGCUGUAACUUCGAGGACCAGUCAUAAGUCACUUUUUUCAGUGCCAUUGUUAACUUCAAAAAAUUGCUGAACAAAUGGUCAUAAGUCGAGGACUACCUGUACUGUAAAAUUACUGAUAGUUCUAAAGGGUUCACCACUGCAUGUUCUGAUAGCGAGAGUUACAUUCCAGCACAUCUGGAGAAUCCCAGGAAAGGCAAAGCUACACUUAGUAUGCUUAUCAAUCACUUAAAGAAGUGCCCAUAAUCAUUUGUAAAUAAAUUGUACAAGAACCUACAUGGGUCCAAUUAGAAACUGGAAAUAUAGGAAAACAAUAGGUCAUCAAAUCGGUGGCAUUUGCCUAUGAACACAAUGGUUUAUGGUUUAAUGUGACAGCCAUUGGGAAUGUACAUUUCUCUUUGCACCUAGGAAAAUAAGAGGAUGUUUUUUCAAAAAAAAAGUUAUAUCCAAUCAAAAGCACUUUCUUAAUAAAAAAACAAAUUUAAUAAAACUGUCAACAGAAAUAAUAUAUGUAAUAACAGGAUAUGUCAUAUCAGACUUCUGGAUUCUUUUUAUCAUGUGUGAAUCAACUUCUAAUCUUUUAUUAAUGACCAGUCUCUUAAUUACAGGUACAUGUAUGCACAUAUUUUCCUGAUUUUUUUUCCCCUGCCUGCUCUCACACAACCUUUGAGUGUUCUUUAUGCAAAUUAAAAGCCAAGUUUGUUCUAAAUGUGGCUUUUGAGUUCUUUGCAUAAACUGUGUGUAUGAUUAAUUAUGCUGUCAGAAAUCUCACUCGGCCCUAGUGGAAUUUUUGUUUAAUCAUGGGGGGGGGGGAAUCUCUUUAAAUCACCUGAUGUUGGCAGUCUGAGGGACUUUAACUGGUUGUUCAUGGCUCCCAUUCAAAUUGCUUCAUUAAGAAUCUCAAAUGCUCUAAAAAGUAUGUUUGCUGCAUGUGUGUUCAUGGGGUUAAGUUUGGUUUGGCUUGGUUAUCAAUUAAGCUAAACCCCUUUUUUGGCGGGGGGGGGGGACAGCAUUGCAGAGUAAAAGACCUAUCUGAAAAUAAUUAGGCAAGAUACUACUCUGGCAAGCUUUAACUGGGUUUAGAUGUAGAAAAAUGUAGAAGAUACAAGAAAACCAACUGAGCAAGAACAGAAAAUGUGUUAAUGCCACUGAUCUCUGGCUCCACCUCUUUUUCCAAUCGUUGGUCUGGUUUUAUGAGGAGCUUGGUGAUGUGGUUUGUGCUUCUGCACACAGAAUUGUACAUGCGUGUAGUACAGCUAGAGAUGAUGAUAGUUGUGAUAUAGGUCUAUUUUUAGGCUACUCAGAAAGAUAAGACCUCAUAAGUGACCAGCAGGGACUGAGUAACCCCAAAGCCUCCAGUGACAUGAAGAAUUUAAUAAUAGCUUGCCAGUCAGAAGGUGGUGUGAUGGUGGCAGAUAUUUAAACCCAAGUAUGCUUCAGUUGCAAUGAGUGCAAGUCCAGCUUUAAAAAUAAAUUAAGCCUAAGAGUGGUAUUCUGUGGAGAAAAAGAAAACUGCCAUCAACCACCUUUCCACUACGUCAAAGGAAACUGAGCUGUUUGUGGUUCUUAGAAUUUCACACUUCUCAAUAACAGGCACUCACACCGUAAAAGCUAUACUAGUGUGCCAGGUCGCACAGUAUGAAAAAGAAUCAAGGUGAUUCUAUUGCUUCCAUUUUAUUUUUUGCACCUGUGUACUGCCUGACAACAGUUGCCUGAAAGACUCCGCAGCAAAAGAUCCAAACCAAUAGAAGAAUAUAGAAAGUUUGCAGACAACUCGUAACAUUUGUAUUUUGAGAAACUUCCACUAAAGAAAUAGGCUGGUGUUUCUCUGGAGCACCCAUAUGGAUUGGUGAUCUAGUUGGAAUUGGAAGUUGCCACCAAUUCCCAAAGCUCCCAUAUUGAAAGAAAAAUUCUAGUGUCCUUCAUCACCUUUGGUUUCUGAGGAGCUGGCUAUGGUACAAUGACAGGUUCUGCAUCUGUUCAACCAUGAUGUAAGGCAGAUAUUACUGAGCAAUAUUCAUCAUUCCAUGCUGGAGAACUGGCCAUCUUAUUUCUCCAUUCCUGUGUCUUCAGAGGUAGUUGCUUCUUGU
Molecule: long non-coding RNA, 2362 nt
Organism: Candoia aspera
Lineage: Eukaryota; Metazoa; Chordata; Lepidosauria; Squamata; Candoiidae
Exons: 3
Source: RefSeq, a predicted model, not a curated record